RNAcentral lists this transfer RNA (70 nucleotides) under Marmota monax (woodchuck). RNAcentral describes it as "tRNA.Ala". The record is from RNAcentral. Lineage: Eukaryota; Metazoa; Chordata; Mammalia; Rodentia; Sciuridae.
GCUUUGGCUCAGCGGUAGAGUGCUCUCCUAGCAUGUGUGAGGCCCUGGGUUCGAUCCACAUUAAAAAAUA